Molecule: long non-coding RNA, 247 nt
Organism: Melitaea cinxia (Glanville fritillary)
Lineage: Eukaryota; Metazoa; Arthropoda; Insecta; Lepidoptera; Nymphalidae
Exons: 2
Source: RefSeq, a predicted model, not a curated record
UAAACGAGAAGGCUCCAAUGUGACCCUCCUGCUUUAUCAGGCAUGGCAAUGAAGCAGACGAAAUGAUGAGCAAAGUUCCGGCCUCCGAUCCGGAAGGAAGACAAGUCGCUCUGUAAUAUCACUGACUUCCUGCAAAGCCGCGUAAAGACUGCUAUGAGCUGCUAAAUUACUUAUAUAAAGACAUAAACUGCUAUUGUAUAAGAAACCCUGUUCGUAACAAAAUAAAUUUUGUUUUAUUUCUUAUAAA